This 301-nucleotide ribosomal RNA is filed under the name uncultured bacterium. Its description in RNAcentral is "partial 16S ribosomal RNA". It matches the Rfam family "Bacterial small subunit ribosomal RNA", at positions 509 to 807 of the family's 1533-position model. The record is from RNAcentral.
CAGUAGCCGCGGUAAUACAGAGGGUGCGAGCGUUAAUCGGAUUUACUGGGCGUAAAGCGUGCGUAGGCGGCUUUUUAAGUCGGAUGUGAAAUCCCUGAGCUUAACUUAGGAAUUGCAUUCGAUACUGGGAAGCUAGAGUACGGGAGAGGAUGGUAGAAUUCCAGGUGUAGCGGUGAAAUGCGUAGAGAUCUGGAGGAAUACCGAUGGCGAAGGCAGCCAUCUGGCCUAAUACUGACGCUGAGGUACGAAAGCAUGGGGAGCAAACAGGAUUAGAUACCCCCGUAGUCCCUGUCUCUUAUAC